GCCACAUCAUGUUGAUACACUGCUUUCCGUACGAUCACCGAAGUUAAGCAACGUGAAUUCUGGUCAGUACUUAAAUGGGUGACCGCUUCUGAAUACCAGGUGCUGUGA
This is a non-coding RNA of Acanthosepion pharaonis, 108 nucleotides long. The record is from the annotation of a GenBank genome assembly. NCBI's taxonomy places the organism in Eukaryota, Metazoa, Mollusca, Cephalopoda, Sepiida, Sepiidae.